UGCCAGCCGCCGCGGUAAUACGGAGGGGGCUAGCGUUGUUCGGAAUUACUGGGCGUAAAGCGCACGUAGGCGGAUUGGAAAGUUGGGGGUGAAAUCCCGGGGCUCAACCCCGGAACUGCCUCCAAAACUAUCAGUCUAGAGUUCGAGAGGGGUGAGUGGAAUUCCAAGUGUAGAGGUGAGAUUCGUAGAUAUUUGGAGGAACACCAGUGGCGAAGGCGGCUCACUGGCUCGAUACUGACGCUGAAGUGCGAAAGUAUGGGGAGCAAACAGGAUUAGAUA
This 279-nucleotide ribosomal RNA is filed under the name uncultured bacterium. RNAcentral describes it as "partial 16S ribosomal RNA". It matches the Rfam family "Bacterial small subunit ribosomal RNA", at positions 506 to 784 of the family's 1533-position model. The record is from RNAcentral.